AUAAGAGGUCCCGCCUGCCCUGUGACUAUAAGUUUAACGGCCGCGGUAUUUUAACCGUGCGAAGGUAGCGUAAUCACUUGUCCUUUAAAUGAAGACCUGUAUGAAUGGCAUCACGAGGGCUUAGCUGUCUCCCAUCUCCAGUCAAUGAAAUUGACCUCCCCGUGCAGAGGCGGGGAUAACCCCAUAAGACGAGAAGACCCUAUGGAGCUUUAGACCUAAAAUAAAUCACGUUUAACAUGCUACAAUAACAGCAGAAACUUACUGAUAUUUACUGAAGUGUCUUUGGUUGGGGCGACCGCGGGGUAAAACACAACCCCCAUGUAGACUGGGGAUACAAUCCCUAGCACUCAGAGCCUCUACUCCAAGUAACAGAAAUUCUGACUUUUCUGAUCCGGUGAAACCGAUCAACGAACCGAGUUACCCUAGGGAUAACAGCGCAAUCUCCUCUAAGAGCCCAUAUCGACGAGGGGGUUUACGACCUCGAUGUUGGAUCAGGACAUCCUAAUGGUGCAGCCGCUAUUAAGGGUUCGUUUGUUCAACGAUUAAAGUCC
RNAcentral lists this ribosomal RNA (551 nucleotides) under Trisopterus esmarkii (Norway pout). RNAcentral's name for it is "partial 16S ribosomal RNA". It matches the Rfam family "Bacterial large subunit ribosomal RNA", at positions 1845 to 2596 of the family's 2925-position model. The record is from RNAcentral. Lineage: Eukaryota; Metazoa; Chordata; Actinopteri; Gadiformes; Gadidae.